CCCUUAGACGUUCUGGGCCGCACGCGCGCUACACUGACCAGUACAACAAGCAUCCGUCCUUGGCCGACAGGCCCGGGCAAUCUUUGAACGCUGGUCGUGAUGGGGAUAGACUUUUGCAAUUUUUGGUCUUCAACGAGGAAUUCCUAGUAAACGCAAGUCAUCAACUUGCAUUGAUUACGUCCCUGCCCUUUGUACACACCGCCCGUCGCACCUACCGAUUGAAUGGUCCGGUGAAGCCUCCGGAUUGGCGCGCACCUCGGUGCCGCCGAGAAGUUGGCUAAACCUUACCAUUUAGAGGAAGGUGAANUCGUAACA
This 315-nucleotide ribosomal RNA is filed under the name uncultured eukaryote. RNAcentral's name for it is "partial 18S ribosomal RNA". It matches the Rfam family "Eukaryotic small subunit ribosomal RNA", at positions 1470 to 1796 of the family's 1831-position model. The record is from RNAcentral.